Molecule: transfer RNA, 61 nt
Filed under: Candidatus Nitrosarchaeum limnium SFB1
Lineage: Archaea; Thermoproteati; Nitrososphaerota; Nitrososphaeria; Nitrosopumilales; Nitrosopumilaceae
Description: tRNA-Arg
Source: RNAcentral
AGCAUUCAAAAUUCUUGCUAUGACAUCAUCUUUGAUAAUUCUUGAGGUAAAAUGAGAUCUA